CGUUUACAUAUGUAUUUUGUACUCUUCUGUGUUCACAUGUGAAAUCCACGAAGGUUAUUAUAAUAAUACCGUGUUGUGUAUAAACGUGUACCUAUAGUUAUAAUAUUAUAUAGGUAUAGGUAGAUUAUAUUAUAAUUGUUUGAUCGGCUUUACGCGAACUUGCUUUGGUGUCUUGUAAUUUAUCUGAAACCCGUCGCGAAGAAGAAGUAUUCGCGACAGGGAGUCUUUCAAGUUCUAACCUUGAGAUUGACCUAUACGUUGGCCGACUGCACGGUGGUAGGUAUAUGAGUAACCAUUACCUUUGUGGUAACUGGUAAGUGGUCGCUGUUGAACUGACGAAAACCGGUCGUGCGUUUCGACUUUUGUUUUUUCAUCGAUUCGAUGGCGAUUUUUUAUUUUUAUUUGAUCAAACCGGAUGAUUCAUACAAAUUCAUACACUGAUUAAUAAAAUAGUGUACUCAGAAGAACACAUUUUUCAAAAUGAUUCGCGUUUCGAUCAAGGAUGGGCCCUAUCGCGAUAGUAUCGGUUAAAAUAAUUGUGAGUACACUACGUUCAAAGAUUAAGAAAAUUUCAGCAUACCUAUGUGUGUACUUAUCGAUAAAUGUAAAUCUGCUGUGGCCUGUGAAAAGCAGAUUAAUCGUCGGGAUUGUUUGCAGAGCCCUAUGACGCAUGUAAGGAAACAUUUUUGGAAUUCGCACGAUUUGCAACGUUCCUGUCGCGUACUCGUUAUUUAUUACACCGAUCGUUUGUCCGUUGCCGUUUUGUUGGAUCAGACUACGGAACAACUAGAAUUCAAAAUAAGGAAACAUCAGUUAGAAAACCAAACACCGUGGCUGUAAUCAAACAGGAGGUCGAUGAAAUCGAUAAUGAUUGUUUUUUUGUAUCUGAGAUGGAAAUUAAAGAAAACCAAGAUUUAGCAGUUAUCAAGGACAAACGUGUGCAUCCUCAUUUCACUUACAAUACACUCAACAGUACUAUGAAAUAUAAUCAAAUUCAAACUAAAGAAAAACCAACCAGAUCAAUUAAAAAAUGCAUUAUGACACACUCAGCAGAGAAACCUUUUCCGUGUGAUAUAUGCAAGAAGACAUUUUUACACUCUGGAAAUCUUAAUAAGCACAUAGUGACACAUACUGGCGAGAGUUCAGUUUCAGUCAUGCCUAAAUAUGUUCGGAAAUCUAAACACUUCACGUCAUGAAAUAAUUAAAAACGUCUGGA
Adelges cooleyi (spruce gall adelgid) is the source of this 1216-nucleotide RNA transcript. It is a transcript of the gene named zinc finger protein 177-like, with no coding region annotated. The transcript has 3 exons. The record is from RefSeq and is a predicted model, not a curated record. NCBI's taxonomy places the organism in Eukaryota, Metazoa, Arthropoda, Insecta, Hemiptera, Adelgidae.